ACUAAUACCGUAUACGCCCUACGGGGGAAAAAUUUAUUGCUAUUAGAUGAGCCUAUAUUAGAUUAGCUAGUUGGUGGAGUAAUAGCCUACCAAGGCAAUGAUCUAUAGCUGAUCUGAGAGGAUGAUCAGCCACACUGGAACUGAGAUACGGUCCAGACUCCUACGGGAGGCAGCAGUGGGGAAUAUUGGACAAUGGGCGAAAGCCUGAUCCAGCCAUGCCGCAUGAGUGAAGAAGGCCUUUGGGUUGUAAAGCUCUUUUAGUGAGGAAGAUAAUGACGGUACUCACAGAAGAAGUCCUGGCUAACUCCGUGCCAGCAGCCGCGGUAAUACGGAGAGGGCUAGCGUUAUUCGGAAUUAUUGGGCGUAAAGGGCGCGUAGGCUGGUUAAUAAGUUAAAAGUGAAAUCCCGAGGCUUAACCUUGGAAUUGCUUUUAAAACUAUUAAUCUAGAGAUUGAAAGAGGAUAGAGGAAUUCCUGAUGUAGAGGUAAAAUUCGUAAAUAUUAGGAGGAACACCAGUGGCGAAGGCGUC
RNAcentral lists this ribosomal RNA (529 nucleotides) under Wolbachia endosymbiont of Aedes albopictus. RNAcentral describes it as "bacterial SSU rRNA". It matches the Rfam family "Bacterial small subunit ribosomal RNA", at positions 162 to 725 of the family's 1533-position model. Lineage: Bacteria; Pseudomonadati; Pseudomonadota; Alphaproteobacteria; Rickettsiales; Anaplasmataceae. The record is from RNAcentral.